This 253-nucleotide ribosomal RNA is filed under the name uncultured bacterium. Its description in RNAcentral is "partial 16S ribosomal RNA". It matches the Rfam family "Bacterial small subunit ribosomal RNA", at positions 524 to 776 of the family's 1533-position model. The record is from RNAcentral.
UACGUAGGGUGCGAGCGUUAAUCGGAAUUACUGGGCGUAAAGCGUGCGCAGGCGGUUUUGUAAGCCAGAUGUGAAAUCCCCGGGCUCAACCUGGGAAUGGCAUUUGGGACUGCAAGGCUGGAGUUUGGCAGAGGAGACUGGAAUUCCCGGUGUAGCAGUGAAAUGCGUAGAUAUCGGGAGGAAUACCGAUGGCGAAGGCAGGUCUCUGGGCUAUAACUGACGCUCAUGCACGAAAGCGUGGGUAGCAAACAGG